Molecule: long non-coding RNA, 4534 nt
Filed under: Salvia miltiorrhiza (redroot sage)
Lineage: Eukaryota; Viridiplantae; Streptophyta; Magnoliopsida; Lamiales; Lamiaceae
Description: long non-coding RNA (SMIL_LNC006190)
Source: RNAcentral
GGCGGGCACUUAUCUGUGUCACAUGCUUUGCAUUGGCUGCAAAGAAGACCACUCUUCAUAUGUUCAGCAUCAGCCACCACGGCUGCUUGAACGACAGCUAGGGCUAGGGCUAGGGCUGUAGCUAGAGAAACGAAGUAGCUUCCCAUACCUCCUUCUCUCAAACCGGGCUUCGCUGUGUUUCUUGUUCUUAGGUUGUAUAUUCUUCAUAUAUGCUGCCCCCUCUGAUUCUUGUUUUCAUCAAUUGUCACAAUGAGACGAGCAUUGUUGUUUGGAAAUCGGCAUGAUUGGUGUCCCAUCUACAACCAAGAUUUGUUGUUGGCAGCUUUGUUUUUAUUCAUUGCAUUGGAGCUAACUACAUUCGGCUUCAAUAAAUCUUUGUUUUAUGCUUUAAUCUCUCUAUCUUAGUUAUACAUCUUGUCUUGUUCUUAUACCAGCUCAGAUCUUUUUUAUUCUUUAACUCUCAAGCCUUCUAUUAAUAACAUAAUUGAACUCUUAUUGACAUAAAGCCCUUUAGUUCAUAUUACUCAAAACAUUUAAUUAUGCCAGCUAAUGAAUGAGCUUAUUAAAUCUUAAAACUCACAACUAAAUUAAGUUUAUUAUUUCUUAAACUACACAAAUAAUUAAGGGCAGGGAAUGAAGGGCCAAAGGCUUAGGGUUCACGAAAUACGAGAGCCUCAAAUUUUAAAAAUAUUCCCAUUAGUUAUAACUUAAUAUUUAUUAAUUACAAAUUCAUUAGAAAAUACUAUAAAUGUGUUACCAUAAUAUAAAGUUGAUUGGUGAAGUUCUUGAGUUUGUUAAAACUUUGUAUUGUUUUUCUCAUAUUUAUAUUCUAUAGAUAUUGUUAAAUAUUGUAGCUUCAACAAAAUAUUUUUAUGUAUUAGAAAUGAGUUAAAUAAAAUUCUUGAUCUUGGAGGUGUAAUUAAUGAUUUUAUUUCUCAAAAUGUUUAGAAGAUCUACAUUAUUUCAAUAAAUAUUUAAUUAUUGUUGCUUGGUUAUUGUACUUUAUAAAUUAAAGUUAUAUAGUCACACAAAUAUGGAAAACGAUUAUGAACCAUUUAUAGUUGAUAAUAAAAAUAUCAAUUUCAUUUCUUAAGAAGCCAAUUUUUUUCAUUUUUUCUCAAGUCCCUCGAAAUAUUUGGACCGACCUUAACAAAGAGGUUUACGUUAGGCCACGGACAUAAAAAUGUGCAUACGUGGACGAGGUUGUCAUUUUGAUCUGUCUGUUUAUAUUUUGGUACACAUAUUCUUAUAUUUGCAAUUUCAUUCACAUUCAAUAUUAAUUUAAAAAAAAAAAACUCAUCCAACAAAUCAUUUAAGAAUUGACUAACAAAUAAAUUUGAUGUAUCAUUUCUCCUCUUUCUAAAUAUCUUCUAAAUAUUUAUUUCUCCACUUUGGUGUAAGGCCAAAUUAUUUAAUAUGUGUUGACUAUUGGUGAAGGGUAGUUGUACUCACCAGACCACAAGUUCCUUUAUACUUUAUUCCUCUUCAUCUUCACUAAUUUACUUCCCUCUCAUCACUAGCAAAUCAAGAGUGUUCCACCAAUCAAUUAGACCAAAGAUAUCUGAGUCUCACCUCGAAUUGUUGCAAUGGCAGAAGCAGUGGUGUCAAUGGCUCUAGAAACCUUGCGCAAUUUGUUGUUGGAAGAAGCAAGGUUUUUAUCUGGUGUGGGCGAUGAAGUGAGGGAGCUCGAGAUCCAGCUGAAACAGAUGAAGUGUCUCCUCGAAGAUGCUGACAGAAGACGACACGAAAGCAAAACCAUUUUCAAUUUGAUCUCGGAGAUCAGAGAUCUUGUGUAUGGAGCCGAAGCUGCCAUUGAAAGACACGCAGCUUAUCAAGUGUGUUCAAGGAGAAGACGAGGCCUCAGACAGCUCGUCCGCAGAUGUAGUUGUAGUUUGGAAGAAUACAAGUCGAUCCACCAACUAGGCUCCGAGAUUUCACCGAUCAAAUCCCGUCUUGAAAGGAUAAACAAGGAAAUGCAAGAAAAUGGCAUAAAGAAGAGCAUCAUCAACACUACAAAUGGAGGGGAAAGCUCAGCUGCCGGCGAAAACAAAAAUUGGUCGAGGAAAACCUUUCCCGAAUUCGAGAUUGGAGAGUGUUUUGUGCGGAUGGAGGAUGAGCUGAAGCAGCUUGAAUAUCUGCUAGUCGAGGACAAAGAGCAUCGAGUUAUUUCAGUAUGGGGCAUGGGAGGUUCGGGCAAGACCACCAUUGCUAGAAAGGUAUACAACCACAUCAAACACACCAAAAGCAGUUGCUUUGAGUCUUUCGCGUGGGUUUGUAUAUCUCAGCAAUGUCAGAUAAAAUCAGUUUUGGAGGAUAUUCUCAGCCAGCUAAGACUAGAAAAGGUUAAUGAGAAUAAUGUGAGUGACACGGCGUUGAUCGGGCAACUGUGCGAGAUACAAAGAGAGAAGCGAUGCCUGAUUGUUGUGGACGAUCUUUGGGAGACUUCACAUUGGGAUGGUCUCAAGCAUGCCUUUCUUGUCCAGNAAAAAGAAUCCCACCUAAGAAUCUAGCAAGGUGACUCAUCAUUCAAUUGCUGGAUUUUGUAUAGCGAGAUAUUUUCUGGAAAACGCUGAUAGUUGGGGGUUUUUGAAUAGAAACAAAAGUUGGGAACAUUUUCUGGAAAACAUUAGAAAGUUGGGGAGACAAACAUGAUUAUUAACCCUUUAUGAAACUAGGCAUUUACCUAUGAAAGCCAGAAGCUGAACCAGAGGUGGAUUCCCAGCCAAAAUAGGAGUUGUUCUUAGCCGACACUCCACCUAUAACAUUAGGCACAGAGUAGACACCCCUAUCUCCGUACUUGAUAUAGUCGGACUGCAACGCGCCAGCAAUUAGGGAGUCGUCAAAAGCAGUCAUGUGAGGGUAUGCAUCACUAGGCGGGCACUUAUCUGUGUCACAUGCUUUGCAUUGGCUGCAAAGAAGACCACUCUUCAUAUGUGCAGCAUCAGCCACCACGGCUGCUUGAACGACAGCUAGGGCUAGGGCUAUAGCUAGAGAAACGAAGUAGCUUCCCAUACCUCCUUCUCUCAAACCGGGCUUCGUUGUGUUUCUUGUUCUUGUUCUUAGGUUGUAUAUACUUCAUAUAUGCUGCCCCCUCUGAUUCUUGUUUUCAUCAAUUGUCGCAAUGAGACGAGCAUUGUUGUUUGGAAAUCGGCAUGAUAGGUAUCCCAUCUACAACCAAGAUUUGUUGUUGGCAGCUUUGUUUUUAUUCAUUGCAUUGGAGCUAACUACAUUCGGCUUCAAUAAAUCUUUGUUUUAUGCUUUAAUCUCUCUAUCUUAGUUAUAUAUCUUGUCUUGUUCUUAUACCAGCUCAGAUCUUUUUCUUCUUUAACUCUCAAGCCUUCUAUUAAUAACAUAAUUGAACUCUUAUUGACAUAAAGCCCCUUAGUUCAUAUUACUCAAAACAUUUAAUUAUGCCAGCUAAUGAAUGAGCUUAUUAAAUCUUAAAACUCACAACUAAAUUAAGUUUAUUAUUUCUUAAAACUCACAAAUAAUUAAGGGGCAGGGAAUGAAGGGCCAAAGGCUUAGGGUUCACAAAUACGAGAGCCUCAAAUUUUAAAAAUAUUCCCAUUAGUUAUAACUUAAUAUUUAUUAAUUACAAAUUCAUUAGAAAAUACUAUAAAUGUGUUACCAUAAUAUAAAGUUGAUUGGUGAAGUUCUUGAGUUUGUUAAAACUUUGUAUUGUUUUUCUCAUAUUUAUAUUCUAUAGAUAUUGUUAAAUAUUGUAGCUUCAACAAAAUAAUUUUAUGCAUUAGAGAUGAGGUACAUAAAAUUCUUGAUCUUGGAGGUGUAAUUAAUGAUUUUAUUUCUCAAAAUGUUUAGAAGAUCUACAUUAUUUCAAUAAAUAUUUAAUUAUUGUUGUUUGGUUAUUGUACUUUAUAAAUUAAAGUUAUAUAGUCAUACAAAUAUGGAAAAUGAUUAUGAACCAUUUAUAGUUGAUAAUAAAAAUAUCAAUUUCAUUUUUUAAGGAGCCAAUUUUUUCAUUUUCACUUAAGUCUCUCGAAAUAUUUGGACCGACCUUAACAAAGAGGUUUAUGUUAGGCCACGGACAUAAAAAUGUGCAUAUAUGGACGAGGUUGUCAUUUUGAUCUGUCUGCUUAUAUUUUGGUACACAUAUUCUUAUAUUUGCAAUUUCAUUCACAUUCAAUAUUAAUUAAAAAAAAAAAAAAACUCAUCCAACAAAUCAUUUAAGAAUUGACUAACAAAUAAAUUUUGAUGUAUCAUUUCUCCACUUUCUAAAUAUCUUCUAAACAUUUAUUUCUCCACUUUGGUGUAAGGCCAAAUUAUUUAAUAUGUGUUGACUAUUGGUGAAGGGUAGUUGUACUCACCAGCUCUAAAAUUACGACCACAAGUUCCUUUAUACUUAUUCCUCUUCAUCUUCACUAAUUUACUUCCCUCUCAUCACUAGCAAAUCAAGAGUGUUCCACCAAUCAAUUAGACCAAAGAUAUCUGAGUCUCACCUCGAAUUGUUGCAAUGGCAGAAGCAGUGGUGUCAAUGGCUCUAGAAACCUUGCGCGAUUUGUUGUUGGAAGAAGCA